Molecule: long non-coding RNA, 2471 nt
Filed under: Lynx pardinus (Iberian lynx)
Lineage: Eukaryota; Metazoa; Chordata; Mammalia; Carnivora; Felidae
Source: RNAcentral
ACAUGAAAAAAAAAUGAGGCAAGAAAGGGCUUUAUACAAAGGUAUUGAGGCCACAUUUGUCAAACCCAGAAUCCCACGUAGAUUUGGGAACUAUGUUUCAAGCUGAGCUCAAAACUUUCAAGUCUCAAAAGUGCUACUUACCCCAAGUAAAAGGCAAUUUUCCAGCUCAAAGAAAGGCAGUUCUGCAAGGUUCAGGAAAAAAGGUCAGAAGACUCCUUGUACAUCAAUCAGCUCCUGGAAAACAACAUGUCAAUGAGUUAAGUGAACACGAAUCAGGCACAUAUGGAUUGAAUUUCCCUUGAAAUACUCCUGGGGUCCAAGUUUAAGGAGUAGAGUGGAGGAGGGGUAUAAAGUCUUAAGAAAAUCUCAUGUAUUCUUCUGCAGACCCCAAACAUAUGAAAAUGCUUCCAAGAUGUCAGAUGGCCAGGCUGCAAGUCCUGUUGGCCCGAAUCAAUGUUAAGGCCAGCUGACCUUUGUUUCUUGAGAUGAGAAUGUAUCUAAAGCCUAAACGAUAGCCCAGGACUUCCCUGCCUUGGUUUCAACUUCACUUCAUGGCAUGGAGAUAGGGAGAUCUGGUAGAGGGUGGCUUUGAAGUUCCCGGGAAGGGAAAUAGAUUUAUUUCGGAGGAAAAAAAUGAACUGCAAGAAACAUUCAAGUUUACUGGUCGUUACUGCCAGUAGCCUAUGUUUCUAAGUAAGUAAAUCAACCCUUCUAUGCUUUCUUUCCUCCUAGAAUCAUAAGAAAAGCAAGUGGGAAUUAAUAUAGAUGUGGGAGAGAAAAGCAAGCGUAAGAGAAUUUUCCUAAGACCAUUCCACAUGGAAGUAUGUAACAUUGUGGAAAUAUGCUUUAUAAAUAGAGGUUCUCAUAAAAUCUUAAGAAAGAGAACAAUGCAGCAUUGAAGUCUAUUUUAGCCCCAAACACUAAACAAAAAUGUAAUGGGUAAAUAACAUUUAGAUUUUUCAUCUCAUAUAAGGUUCAUAUACAUGAGGACUAUUUAAAUCUGUUUGUACAUGAAAUGUUAAGAAUUCACCAUUGACAAUAAGCUAGUCCAUCGUAUCCACAUGGACCAAAAACUGAUUACUACCAACCCUUUUCUCACACAGCUUCAUAAAAACUUAAACUGAGAAUCAGACAUUUAAAACUCUUUAAAAGGAAACCUGUUGAGAAACAAUAUGGUUCACGUUUUUUGUUUUCUAUGGCAUUUUUGUAGUCAAACUAUAAUUUCUCUUUAGGAAAAGUACCGAACUAGAAACUUCUUGGGCGGCGGUGGCAACCGUUGUGGACUUUUUCUCCUUUUUCUUUUCUUUUCUUUUUUUUUUUUUUUAAGGCAGGAGGUAAUCAGAGAUAAAUGUUAAUGGGAUUUUUUUAAACAAAUGAUGCACUGUCAAGAGAAAAGUUUUUCACAAUUGUCAAAUUGUGUAGACAGUGUUCAAAUUGCUCAUUCAUUAUCAGUAGCACCACCAAGUUGAAAACACACUUUUUCUCGUCGGCAGUUGAUUGAUGCGCAUUACUCAUAUCAGGCUAAUGGCACUUUAUUUUCCAACAGUAGCAAGUAAUGAGUGACCUUGAGUGCAUAUUGUUUUCCUGCAAGGGUUUGUUGCUCUGCUUCCUUCAUAAGCACCCCAAGGAAACAAGGCCCCUGUAUUGGUGUUCUGCAGCAAACCUCAUUUCUUUCAUGGCUUUCUGUAAAAGAAUUUGAUACAGGGAUAGAAGCUAACCUCAGUGAGUAAAUGAAAUAUUGAUCCAUGCUACUCUGGCCUUGCCUUCACCUUGUCCCAGGGCGGUGAGUUACUGACUUUUCCGUUUUGGCUGUAAUAGGAAUUAUUACAACAGGCCUGUGCAAGUAAUUACUUGGCAUGGUAAAAAAGGAGAGUCCAUCAUAUAUUUCUGUAGAGACGUUAGUUUCCAUCAGCCCAGCAGUCUGCUUUUUUGGCUCUGUCUUUCCUACUCUUGAUUCAAUUCUUUUAACCAUCAUUAAUCACAGUCCUUGUCAGCAGAAGUUUAUCAAAAGUAUUAAGUGAGCAAGGUUGCCUGGCCUCCUUAAAAAAAAAUCAGCCAACACGGGGCAGUAAAUUUCAAAAUAUGGAAGGUUGGUUCCGUGAUAUAUAUGAGUGUCUCUUCAGCUAGAAUGAGCCGUUUGUUUUAGUGAUAGAUAUUGUAGUUUGAGCUGUGAUAGAAUCCUUCUCAAGUUUAUGUGUCGUGGGCUAUCGUUUAUGAGAGACCAUGUGUUUCUAAAUGGUGAAGGUCAAGGCUGAUGGCAAAAGUAAAAGCAGUGGUGAUUCAUUAAAAAUAGUUAAUAGGGCCUGUGGCUGACAGGGAUAAAUAGGAACAUGUGGCUUGCCAAGCCACUGGUACCCAAAUUGACAUUGUGCUUUUGGUCCCAACUCACCACUUCCAAUCGCCAGACAGCUGUGAGCCGACAAACAGACAGUAGGCAAAGUCGCCUCUUGUUAACAACAGAUGAGGAGAAA